RNAcentral lists this ribosomal RNA (395 nucleotides) under uncultured bacterium. RNAcentral's name for it is "bacterial SSU rRNA". It matches the Rfam family "Bacterial small subunit ribosomal RNA", at positions 29 to 413 of the family's 1533-position model. The record is from RNAcentral.
AAUGAACGCUGGCGGCGCGCCUAAUACAUGCAAGUCGAGCGAGAAGACGUAGCAAUACGUUUGUAAAGCGGCGAACGGGUGAGGAAUACAUGGGUAACCUACCCUCGAGUGGGGAAGUAACUAGCCGAAAGGUUAGCUAAUACCGCGUACGCUCCUUGGACUUCGGUUCAGGGAGGAAAGCGAUACCGUGGGUAUCGCGCUCUUGGUUGGGCUCAUGUCCUAUCAGCUUGUUGGUGAGGUAACGGCUCACCAAGGCUUCGACGGAUAGCUGGUCUGAGAGGACGAUCAGCCACACUGGCACUGCGACACGGGCCAGACUCCUACGGGAGGCAGCAGUAAGGAAUAUUGCGCAAUGGGCGAAAGCCUGACGCAGCGACGCCGCGUGGGGGAGUGAA